RNAcentral lists this ribosomal RNA (4468 nucleotides) under Triticum aestivum (bread wheat). Its description in RNAcentral is "partial small subunit ribosomal RNA". The record is from RNAcentral. Lineage: Eukaryota; Viridiplantae; Streptophyta; Magnoliopsida; Poales; Poaceae.
UAAAAAAGACCACCUUCGGCCUGACAAGAGAGCGUAAGCGUGGGAGUGUGUGAGUGUGCAUCGAGAACCUAUAAGAGUUUUUUUUUUGCGUGGAGAACUACCUAGGGGGGAAAAGUAGAGGAAGGUAGGGGAGCGAGGUUUUAAGAAGGUCGGUUCGUAACACCAUCAAGGGUUGUUGUGGAGUCAAGGUGAGAACUAAGGAACGGCCCUGGAACGAGCAGGAGUGAACGUGCGUGGAGACGUCCAGCCGAGUGACCACGCCGCUGCCCCACCCGAACCGAGGGACAUGCGUAGCAGCUAGAGAGUCCGGCCAGUUGUCGCUGCCUACCCAUCAUCCCGAGCUACUCUUCGACACGGUACGUCCUACGCUCGAAUAACUAGAACCGACAAAGUAACAGCAGUCGCAGGAAGCUCCGCUACGUCCGCACCUAGAACAGAGGGCGUCGGUAGAACCUAGGUGUAACCAACACUCCUACGACUGCCGCAACAAAAAGUAACGUAGCACCGACAGGGGCUCGUUCCGUCGGCCCGUCCAGCAGAAGUAGGAGCUGUGAACGUCUGACUUAAGCCGUUGAAUAAGAAGGUGGAUUUCCAGGGGGAAGAGGGAAAAGGACAGAAAGAGGGAAAGAGUUGUACACAUACCGAUUUGGUUAUAUUACACGUAAUUCCAUGUCGAACAAUCACUUUCUACAUUUAAUUAAACACGGGGGAGGUGGAAAAAACAUGAACCCUGAACGUAGCCGUCUCCGGGGAGACGGGAUCAAGUAUAAGUUGUUUAAAUUAUUUAUUAAUCAAAUAAACACUAAUCGAUAUCAAAAUUCUAAAGGGUUUCUAUCUUAAUUAAAACUAUUCACUAUACUUUUCUCCACGAUAAUGUAAAACGUAUAAUUGAUAUUGUUAGGUACCUACAACAGUGCCAAUAUAACGUGUUAUACUAUUCGAAUUUUAUAGGCUAUUAUGUAUCACAGCUAUUAACUAUUAUAACUCGAUAAAGGUAACUUAUAACUACGUACAAAGCUUAUGAAGACCCUCAUCAUCUAGUAUAAACAGGGCGGCAUAGUACAAUAAUCGUAUCUUUUCAGUAAAAACGAGGUACAUGAAUUCCAAUAGAUUUUUCCGAUCAUCGUAGAUAUUCACGGACAAACCAAGGGUGGAAGUCUUAUAAAGACACAUCUGACAAGAACUGGUGUAGUAGGAGCAACAGUCAAGUAAAAGAUAUCUUUUCUUUUAUUAUCCACACUAUUUCAGUUGUCCCAUAAUGAACACGCACAAAAAGGUUUCAUAAGGGAAAGAGAAUGUAAACAGUACUUGAGGAACUCGAAAUACACCUUGUGAGCCAGUUGUUAUAGUCUAGAAAGACUAAGACGAACCGGAUGAAGGACAUCGUAUCUAACUUAGACACCGGUUCAACGUAACGUACACUUACAGUGUUUAUCCAGACACAUAGGUUCGGUGACUGUAUAACUAUAUCGUAGUACCAUCAAAACACGAAACAAAGAACCCGAUAGAAACUUCGAACUAACGUGUACCGUCAUCGUAAGAGGAAGUAUGGACCAGUUGGUAACAUAAAGAAAACGCAGAACGCCCUGUUGUAUAUUAAGACAAGAAUCCAAAGGAACAACAGAAAGCUAGGUCAGAUCGAUAAACAUGACGUUUUACAUACGUUCCCGUUACUUGACGUUAAAUCCGAAAAGUGUGUGGUCGUUCACAAAACUGUCCAAUCAUGUAACAACAUAUACUAAGAGUAUCAUAAGGUUGUUACAAUAUACGAAAGAGAAGGUGAAACGUGGAAGAAAAUUACACAUUACAUAUAAAAGAGAGAUGUGUAGAAGAGGCGACCCCUUAUUAUUAACUAUGACGUAUCCGUACUUACAACUUACCAAGAGACUAUAAGAACCCAGAGUACAGAAACAUCACUUGUUACAACAGGACAGGAAAAGAUAAGACACAACAUAGUAAGUGUUAGUUCCGACUUUGAUGUCAACGUCUACCGUACGGUACAGCAUAAUUAGAGUGCAACAUUAUCAGUAGAAAAGUUUAAAUAGGGAACGGUAAGAGUCACAAAAACGAUCAGAUAAUAGAGAUAGGUUGUAAAAAAUUCCGGGGGCUGUUUCACUCCUAGAGAACUGAGGGAAAACAGAAGACUACAACUGCACAGUUAGGACUAAAAUGGAGUAAACAUCGCAGUAUACACAUGUUGAGGCAACACGCACCAAGCAGGAAUGGAAGUCCAUUAUCUCAUGGAUAAGACACCAUAAAAACCGGUAAGUACUGUUUAUAUAUUGCAGGCACCGGUAACAAAUAAAGACACAGAUGGUAAGGAGGGUAACUGCACUUUCGCUUGUACCUCAACAAGUUUGACUAUAAAACGUACAUCAAAAAGGUGGAGGAAGGCAACACAAAGGAAUUUUUUAAGCAUGCCAAUCGGCCGCCGAGAGGACUACCACCGUUCAGUUGGAACGGGGCAACCGUCGGAUCGGGUUUUCUACCGUACGAAGAGCGAGAUGGACUCCAACAAAGAAGCAUUGUCUCUUAACGUAGUGUAGUGAGUGUGAACGUCGAACCCAAAGGCUGCAACGGAUUAAAGGUAUAAGCAGGAGAGACUACAGGACAAGUUCUAAAACUUAAGUCGUAGUUAAAUUUACAAACAUUACAGACCAACAAGAAGAAGUAUGAUUUGUUUGUUUAAAGUAUCUUGAAUGUAGAGACCUCAAAGAAAGGGAUAGGAGCAAAGAUACAACAUGUGUAACACAAUGAAAAUCAGGACAUGCGCACGUAUUUUCUUUAUGGUCCAAGUACUUAUAGGUUUAACAUCUAGAACUAACUUGAAAGAACAAUGAAUGGAGAAUCAGUAAGGUCGGACUGAAUAAUAACUUAAGAAAACACAGUGACCAAGACGUAACGAGAAAGAAACAUAAAAAAUAAAAGGGUAUAUCAGAAUGGAUAGAUCGAUAGAGACAACUUAAUGGUCGGGACGUAUUUGUAUUUAUGGUAAAUAAUCUUUACUCUAUUAAAAAGACGCUGUACACGUUAAAUAAUGAACAUCAUCAACAGUUUCAGGUACAACUUACGGAUAUGUACUAUACCAAGGGACGCCGUUAAUUUUUUACGACUAAAACGGGGACAGAACCAAUUCGGUAUGAUGUACCGUUACACAAGAGUACAAAAAAACUGUUUCUUUAUUAACUAUCAAAAAGACGUUCUUGCUUACAUUGUACAAAAGAAAUGAAAUUAUGUGGUGAAAUUUAAUCGACAUCUAGUAUACCUUUACGUAUCCGGCUGCCCGCACUAUUGGUAAACGCAUGCCAUUUGACACAUUCUAGUCUAUAAACAUGUAGUUUAUAUGACCCAUAAGUUAUUUGAAAACAUUCGUACCUUUCUUACCUUGUGUAUCUAUCGUGUUAACUACACGUUUCGUCUUCGUUCGAUAUUAUGAUAAAGCUUAUAUGGAAUAAUGUCAGCACGUAGUACGUUCUCUUCAAAUCGUCAACUUAAGUCUUGUCAUACAUUUCUAUCACCUACUAUUAUGUGUAUUCCUUUAUUCAAACAUUUCUAAAAGAAGGGCGUGCACCAAGUCUCCAAGAAGAAAACCGUAUUAACACGUCAGACCGUGUAGAGGUACAUACUAGUUAAAAAAAAAGAAAAAGAACAGAACUACAAAGUAAGAGCACAGGAUUGAAAAGUAACAAAUAACUGAUCUAACUGUAGUCAUUCUAUAUUAAACUUUAUAAAGGGGGCAGGUUCGAAUUUAGUGUUUGGGUACACACGGAUGAACUUAGAGUUUAGGUUCGAAUAAAAGAAGAAGAAUACUACGGUGGAUAACUUCUAGUACCAAUCAUUACCUAGUUGAACAACAUAACGUAUAAACUAAGAAAAUUGGUUGAACCUUCUAAAGUGUGUAAAAACGAUACUUCGGGUGGAAAAUAAAGGAAACAAAGAAGGACGUGUUACCUCUUACGUGUAUAAUGACUUCUUCUACUCUUUAACAUUUUAGCAAUACCUCAUGACGAGUUCCAAUACUUCUAAAUACUAAAACCAUCAAAAAAGACGAAUGUUUUUAAAGCAGAAAGAACAUCUUCAUUUCCUCUAGUUAAAGGUCCUGGUCACCUACAAUUCAAGGUUAGAAGUAAACUUUUCUGUUUAUAAUACCAUGAACGGCCUCCACAAGACGAGCGAGCUACCUCGGCUACCGUGUUAGUUCCUCUAAACCCGUGAGCGAUCACUCUCAAGAACAAAAAUCCCUUUCGGUAGUACUGGCACAUAUAAAUAGAUCUUAUUAUCAACACAUAUAACUAGACCUUAUUAUCGAUGUAGUAGACAUUCUUGCCGUUCAUUUUUUCGACCCUAAACGAACAGUACCUAUAUACUCAGGUUAGUUAGCACUCAAAACAAAAACCUGGUACUCUAACCAACAUUCUAACCACACUUCUUGUACCGUACCUACCAUUUUAACUAGGACUCUCACAUA